GAUGAACGCUGGCGGCGUGCCUAAUACAUGCAAGUCGAGCGAACGGACGAGAAGCUUGCUUCUCUGAUGUUAGCGGCGGACGGGUGAGUAACACGUGGAUAACCUACCUAUAAGACUGGGAUAACUUCGGGAAACCGGAGCUAAUACCGGAUAAUAUUUUGAACCGCAUGGUUCAAAAGUGAAAGACGGUCUUGCUGUCACUUAUAGAUGGAUCCGCGCUGCAUUAGCUAGUUGGUAAGGUAACGGCUUACCAAGGCAACGAUGCAUAGCCGGCCUGAGAGGGGGGACGGCCCAAACGGAACUGAAGCAACGUCCAAACUCCUACGGGAGGGCGCCGUAGGGGAUCUUCCGGCAAGGGGCGAAGGCUGACGGAGCAACCGCGGGGGGAGUAAGAAGGUCCUCGGAUCGUUAAAACCUGGUAAUAGGGGAGAAACAAUUUGGAAAUAACUGUGGACAACUUGACGGUAACUAAUCAGAAAGCCACGGCUAACUACGUG
RNAcentral lists this ribosomal RNA (497 nucleotides) under uncultured bacterium. RNAcentral's name for it is "partial 16S ribosomal RNA". It matches the Rfam family "Bacterial small subunit ribosomal RNA", at positions 28 to 507 of the family's 1533-position model. The record is from RNAcentral.